RNAcentral lists this long non-coding RNA (1689 nucleotides) under Olea europaea (common olive). RNAcentral's name for it is "long non-coding RNA (OEUR_LNC005340)". Lineage: Eukaryota; Viridiplantae; Streptophyta; Magnoliopsida; Lamiales; Oleaceae. The record is from RNAcentral.
CUUGAAUUGGUAUGUUCAAAUUUUCAAAAAAUGCACACGUAUGCAUCUAUUUAAUUGUUCGAAUGAUAUGAUGUGACUUUUUAUUGAAAAUAGUGACAAAAUAUGUUGUCACUUUUUCAUAGAAAAGUGACAGAAUCACAUUCUCCUUGAGCAAAAGCCUUACAUGCACCAAUGUAAUUAAUUCAAAAUUUUCUUUUUUAUAUGUAUUACCAAAAAACAGGAAUUGAAUUGGUAUAUUCAAAUUUCAAAAAUACAAACGUAAUCACGUAUAAAAUUACUUAAUUGCUCCAAUGAUAUGGUAAUGGUAUGACUUUUUUUGAAAAAAAGUGACAAAAUGUCACUCUACAUGAGCAAACACCUUGCACGCAUCCACGUACUCGAUUCAAAGUUUUCUUUUUCAUAUAUAUUACCAAAGAACAGGGGAUGAAUUAGUAUGUUCAAACUUUCAAAAAAGCAUACGUAUGCAUCAAGUUAAUUAUUCCAAUGAGAAAUGGUGAUUGUUUUGGAGAAAGGUCAUAAAAUGUCACAUUUUCGUCGAAAAGUGACACAAUGUCACUUUUUUUUAGAAAAGUAACAGAAUGUCAAUCUUCAUGAGCAAACAUCUUACAUGCAUCCAUGUAAGUGAAUCAGAGUUUUCUUUUUCAUAAAUACUACUAGAAAACAUGCCAUGAAUUAGUAUGUUCAUACUUUCAAAAAAGUACAUCUAUGCAUCAGGUUAAUUACUCCAAUAAUAAAGCGUGACUAUUUUGGAAAAAAAGUGGCAAAAUGCCGCUUUUUCUUAGAAAAGUGACACAAUGUCACUUUUUUUGAGAAAAAGUGAUAGAAUGUCAUACUUUCCAUGAGCAAACACCUUACACACAUCCAUGUAGUGGAUUCAAAGUUUUUUUUUUCCAUAUGUAUUAUCAGAAAACAAAGCAUAAAUUGGUAUGUUCAAAAUUUUAGAAAAGCACAUGUGUGCAUCUAAUUAAUUGCUCCAAUGAUAAAGUGUGACUAUUUUGGAGAAAGGUCACAGAAUGUCACUUUUUCGUAAAAAAGUGACACAACGUCACUUUUUUUUUAAGAAAAGUGACAGGAUGUCACCCUCUCCAUGUGCAAACACAUUGCAUGCAUCCAUAUAAUUGAUUCAAAGUUUUCAUUUUCAUAUGUAUUCUCACAUAACAGGGCAUGAAUUGGUAUGUUUAAAUUUUAAAAAAAGCACACGUAUGCAUCCGGUUAAUUGUUCCAAUGAUAAAGGGUGAUUGUUCUUGUAGAAAGGUAACGAAUGUCACCUUUUCGUUGAAAAGUGACAUAAUGUCACUUUUUUUAGAAAGGUGACAGUAUGUCACUCUUCAUGAUCAAACAUCUUGCAAGCAUCCAUGUAGUCGAUUCAAAGUUUUCUUUUUCAUAUGUAUUACCAAAAAAUAAGAUAUGAAUUAGUACAUUCAAAUUUUCAAAAAAGCACACAUAUGCAUCCGAUUAAUUACUCCAAUGAUAAAUAGUGACUGUUUUGGAGAAAGGUCACAAAAUGUCACUUUUUCUAAGAAAAGUGACAGAAUUCCACUUUCUCACCUUCUCCUAUGAGCAAACACAUUGCAAGCGUCAAUGCAAUUGGUUCAAAGUUUUCUUUCUCAUGUGUAUUACCAAAAAAUAUGACUUGAAUAUAUACAUUCAAAUUUCCAAAAACUCACACAUGUAUAUCUAGCUAAUUGC